UGUAUAAUGGGUCAGCGACUUAUAUUCUGUAGCAAGGUUAACCGAAUAGGGGAGCCGAAGGGAAACCGAGUCUUAACUGGGCGUUAAGUUGCAGGGUAUAGACCCGAAACCCGGUGAUCUAGCCAUGGGCAGGUUGAAGGUUGGGUAACACUAACUGGAGGACCGAACCGACUAAUGUUGAAAAAUUAGCGGAUGACUUGUGGCUGGGGGUGAAAGGCCAAUCAAACCGGGAGAUAGCUGGUUCUCCCCGAAAGCUAUUUAGGUAGCGCCUCGUGAAUUCAUCUCCGGGGGUAGAGCACUGUUUCGGCAAGGGGGUCAUCCCGACUUACCAACCCGAUGCAAACUGCGAAUACCGGAGAAUGUUAUCACGGGAGACACACGGCGGGUGCUAACGUCCGUCGUGAAGAGGGAAACAACCCAGACCGCCAGCUAAGGUCCCAAAGUCAUGGUUAAGUGGGAAACGAUGUGGGAAGGCCCAGACAGCCAGGAUGUUGGCUUAGAAGCAGCCAUCAUUUAAAGAAAGCGUAAUAGCUCACUGGUCGAGUCGGCCUGCGCGGAAGAUGUAACGGGGCUAAACCAUGCACCGAAGCUGCGGCAGCGACACUGUGUGUUGUUGGGUAGGGGAGCGUUCUGUAAGCCUGUGAAGGUGUGCUGUGAGGCAUGCUGGAGGUAUCAGAAGUGCGAAUGCUGACAUAAGUAACGAUAAAGCGGGUGAAAAGCCCGCUCGCCGGAAGACCAAGGGUUCCUGUCCAACGUUAAUCGGGGCAGGGUGAGUCGACCCCUAAGGCGAGGCCGAAAGGCGUAGUCGAUGGGAAACAGGUUAAUAUUCCUGUACUUGGUGUUACUGCGAAGGGGGGACGGAGAAGGCUAUGUUGGCCGGGCGACGGUUGUCCCGGUUUAAGCGUGUAGGCUG
RNAcentral lists this ribosomal RNA (913 nucleotides) under Escherichia coli. Its description in RNAcentral is "partial 23S ribosomal RNA". It matches the Rfam family "Bacterial large subunit ribosomal RNA", at positions 609 to 1527 of the family's 2925-position model. Lineage: Bacteria; Pseudomonadati; Pseudomonadota; Gammaproteobacteria; Enterobacterales; Enterobacteriaceae. The record is from RNAcentral.